AUGGGUUAGUUUUUUUAUCUAUUCUUCUAGCUCUUCAAUUCUAACCUUCUAAUUAUCAGUAAGCUCAACAAAAAGACCUUUCUCAUAAAUUAAUAUUUUAUUUUAUUUUCAAGUUGGAGUAUCCUUUUGGCAGUAUCAUCCUUCUAUAAUUUCUUAGCCUGCAUUGCAGUCAUAUUUUUUUUAUCUUCAUUAUCCAUACUUUUAUGAAUAUC
RNAcentral lists this long non-coding RNA (212 nucleotides) under Elaeis guineensis (African oil palm). RNAcentral's name for it is "long non-coding RNA (EGUI_LNC008029)". The record is from RNAcentral. Lineage: Eukaryota; Viridiplantae; Streptophyta; Magnoliopsida; Arecales; Arecaceae.